CUAUUCCUUAUAUAGGGCAACGGUUUUGACCAGGGCCCAUAGGAUUCUAGACAGAAUUAUUGCACUUGGUAAGGAAUAGGGUACAAUUUAGGACAUAACCAGUCACUCUCUCUCUCUCAGUCUCUCCAUCUUUCGCUUUCCCCAUGUUUUCACAGCCCAACGUCCCCUUUCUAUACACACACACACACACACACACACACACACACACACACACACACACACACACACACACACACACACACACACACACACACACACACACACACACACACACUGCUCAAAACACCAGGGUCAGAGGUCACGCAUACACACAGUUGUACUGUAAACACAAAUGGCUGCUGCAUUGGUUUGUCUGCUUUGUUCAUUUCUGUUGUUUUGUCUUUUGACUCCCAUUAGAUUAGAGAUUCAUAACACAACAUAACCGGGAUUCAAUCCAAGAUGUGUUGUGAAGCAAAGCAUACUUUAAAAAAUGUAUUAAUACGCUCAAACUAUACACUCAUUUAUCGUGAAUCCAAUCGCUGCGAGCAUCUGGGAAAAAUGCCUUUACACUAGUGCGCUGCUCUCUAAGGCUCCUGGGAUUGAAUCCCGGCCUGAGACUGCUUCCAAACAACGUAUGUAAAUAAAUCCUGGUCAGAGAUAGCAGAGAACAGCUCAGAGCACCUUAGUACUGUCCACUGAGACCUGGGUUAGGCCUGGGUAGGAUAGACAUCUGUCCCAUCUGGUGUGGCCUAAUUGUGCAUUAAUUUUGGUCAUGUAAGUGUAUCACCACUCCCUUUGUCUGAGGCUAGUCCCAAAUGGCACCCUAUUCCAUAAAUAGUGCACUACUAUUCACCAGAUUCCUAUGUGCCCUGGUGAAAAGCAGUGCACUAUAUAGGGAAUAGGUUGGAAACCCCCGUUAGAAACAGAGGCCUACACAGACAACAAGUAAACGAUACAGGACGUGUAUAAAAGUUUAAACACCCUAGUGUCACCUUCAUUGAUGACAUAAUAACACCAUGAAUGUAAUAUGACAACUAUAAUACUGACUUCAUAUGUGGAAGGCAUUUGAUGAAAUUAUAAAAUGGUGGAUGAGGAACGAAUAAAAUUGAGUUUAUGUAGGAAGUUAUAUCUUUUGAACAGAGGGCCAACCUGUCAAAAAGAUGUUUAUUUACAGCUAGCUAUAAUCUCUAAUCUACUCCUAUGUUUUCAUCUGGAAGAAAAGGUGAGAUCUGGGAGAAAAGGUGAAAUCUGGGAGAAAAGGUGAAAUCUGGGAGAAAAGGUGAGAUCUGGAAGAAAAGGUGAGAUCUGGAAGAAAAGGUGAAAUCUGGGAGAAAAGGUGAAAUCUGGGAGAAAAGGUGAGAUCUGGAAGAAAAGGUGAGAUCUGGAAGAAAAGGCGAGAUCUGGAAGAAAAGGUGAGAUCUGGGAGAAAAGGUGAGAUCUGGAAGAAAAGGUGAGAUCUGGAAGAAAAGGCGAGAUCUGGAAGAAAAGGUGAGAUCUGGGAGAAAAGGUGAGAUCUGGAAGAAAAGGUGAAAUCUGGGAGAAAAGGUGAGAUCUGGAAGAAAAGGUGAAAUCUGGGAGAAAAGGUGAGAUCUGGAAGAAAAGGUGAGAUUUGGGAGAAAAGGCGAGAUCUGGAAGAAAAGGUGAAAUCUGGGAGAAAAGGUGAGAUCUGGAAGAAAAGGUGAGAUUUGGGAGAAAAGGCGAGAUCUGGAAGAAAAGGUGAGAUUUGGGAGAAAAGGUGAGAUCUGGAAGAAAAGGUGAGAUUUGGAAGAAAAGGUAUAAAGAAGAAAGUCAACAGGACCCCGGUAGAAACAGAGAUCAAAGAGGGAGUUCUGACGGCUCUGAUCCGUGGUUGGCAGCAACAUUAUAGUUACAAACCAAAUGGAACCCUAUUCCCUAUAUAGUGGACUACUUUUGAUAAGGACCCAUAGGGCUCUGAUCGAAACACUAUAUAUACGGUUGAAGUUGGAAGUUUACAUACACAUAGGUUGGAAUCAUUAAAACUUGUUUUUCAACCAAUCCACACAUUUCUUGUUAACAAACUAUAGUUUUGGCAAGUCAGUUAGGACAUCUACUUUGUGCAUGACACAAGUACUUUUUCCAACAAUUGUUUACAGACAGAUUAUUUCACUUAUAAUUCACUGUAUCACAAUUCCAGUGGGUCAGAAGUUUACAUACACUAUGUUGACUGUGCCUUUAAACAGCUUGGAAAAUUCCAGAAAAUGAUGUCAUGGCUUUAGAAGCUUCUGAUAGGAUAAUUAACAUAAUUUGAGUCAAUUGGAGGUGUACCUGUGGAUGUAUUUCCAGGCCUACAUUCAAACUCAGUGCCUCUUUGCUUGACAUCAUGUGAAAAUCAAAAGAAAUCAGCUAAGACCUCAGAAAAAAAUGAUAGACCUCCACAAAUCUGGUUCAUCCUUGAGAGCAAUUUUGACUGAAGGUACCACGUUAAUACGCAAGUAUAAAAACCAUGGGACCACGUAGCCAUCAUACCGCUCAGGAAGGAGAUGCGUUCUGUCUCCUAGAGAUGAACGUACGUUGGUGCGAAAAGUGCAAAUCAAUCCCAGAACAACAGCAAAGGACCUUGUGAAGAUGCUGGAGGAAACAGGUACACACGUAUCUACAGUAUAUCCACAGUAAAACGAGUCCUAUAUCGACAUAACCUGAAAGGCCGCUCAGCAAGGAAGAAGCCACUGCUCCAAAACCGCCAUAAAAAAAGCCAGACUACUGGUUGCAACUGCACAUGGGGACAAAGAUCCUACUUUUUGGAGAAAUGUCCUCUGGUCUGAUGAAACAAAAAUAGAACUGUUUGGCCAUAAUGACCAUCGUUAUGUUUGGAGGAAAAAGGGGGAGGCUUGCAAGCCGAAGAACACCAUCCUAACUUUGAAGCACGGGGGUGACAGCAUCAUGUUGUGGGGGUGCUUUGCUGCAGUAGGGAGUGGUGCAUGUCACAAAAUAGAUGUCAUCAUGAGGAGGGUAAAUUAUGUGGAUAUAUUGAAGCAACAUCUCAAGACAUCAGUCAGGAAGUUAACGCUUGGUUGCAGAUGGGUCUUCCAAAAUGGACAAUGACCCCAAGUUGUGGCAAAAUGGCUUAAGGACAACAAUGUCAAGGUAUUGGAGUGGCCAUCACAAAGCCCUGAGCUCAAUCCUAUUGAAAAUUUGUGGGCAGAACUGAAAAAGCAUGUGUGAGCAAGGAGGCCUACAAACCUGGCUCAGUUACACCAGCUCUGUCAGGAGGAAUGGGCCAAAAUUCACCCAACUUAUUGUGGGAAGCUUGUGGAGGGCUACCCGAAACGUUUGACCCAAGUUAAAAAAUGUAAAGGCAAGGCUACCAAGUACUAAUUGAGUGUAUGUAAACUUCUGACCCACUGGGAAUGUGAUGAAAGAAAUAAAAGCUGAAAUAAAUCCUUCUAUCUACUAUUAUUCUGACAUUUCCCAUUCUUAAAAUAAAGUGCUGAUCCUAACUGACCUAAGACAGGGAAUUUAAACCAGGAUUAAAUGGCAGGAAUUGUGAAAAACUGAGUUUAAAUGUUUUUGGCUAAGGUGUAUGUAAACUUCUGACUUCAACUGUAUAUAUUUAUUAAUUUAACUCGGCAAGUCAGUUGAGAACAAAUUCUUAUUUACAAUGACGGCCUACACCGGCCAAACACAAAAGACGCUGGGCCAAUUGUGCGCUGCCCUAUGGGACUCCCAAUCACAGCCGGGUGUGAUACAGACUGGAUUCGAACCAGGGACUGUAGUGACGCCUCUUGCACUGAGAUGCAGUGCCUUAGACUGCUACGCCACUCGGGAGCCCAUAUAUAGAGAAUAGGGCACAAAGAUCCAAUAUGUUAUGUAUGGGUUCUAUAUGUCAUUCUAUGCAUUAGCGUACCGAGGUGAAAUAAUGAUGGUGAAUUGCAUGAUCAGAGUUUACCCACAGCUACAGAGCCACUGUGUGUAGGCCUUCACAUCCACCACUAUAGAGCACUGUGCCCAAUACCAGAUGGGGUAAAGCAAAGUACCAAAUAUUAUAUCAUACGUACAGGCCACUGUGGACAGACAGUACCAGCAUUGGUCACUCAGCGCCAAUCUCAAAAGUGCACCAUUGCCAGCAUCAAACUACAAGUUUGAUGCUUUAGUUUCAAGACUACACCAUCAUGACUACAUCCCAAAAGGCACCCUAUUCCCUAUAUAGUACACUACUUUUGACAAGAGCUCUAUGGUGAGCCAGUGAGCCCGUAGGGCUCUGGUCAAAAGUCGUGCACUAUAUAGAGGACAGGGUGCCAUUUGGGACGCAGUCUUAGUCUACAACAACAACAACAUGACCAGAUAGAAACUCAGUGAAUGAAACUGGACACAGAAGCCUCAGAACAUAAACUCAGUGAAUGAAACUGGACACAGAAACCUCAGAACAUUGAAUUGUAAAGUGAAUGUCACCCAAACCUCUGAACCUUUGGUCUGCAACCCCCUUAUAAAAAUACUAUCAAACUUUUCUGAAUGUGUUGUUUUUUUUGUUGCUUCUUGUUCUUCUAUUUAGGUAUAAAUAUGGGGAAAGAGCUACUCUACUGUGCAAGUGACAGAGACACAUACAAUACUAUUUGAAGGUUGGGGGU
This is a long non-coding RNA of Oncorhynchus keta (chum salmon), 4565 nucleotides long. RefSeq lists it as uncharacterized. The transcript is spliced from 3 exons. The record is from RefSeq and is a predicted model, not a curated record. NCBI's taxonomy places the organism in Eukaryota, Metazoa, Chordata, Actinopteri, Salmoniformes, Salmonidae.